RNAcentral lists this transfer RNA (74 nucleotides) under Sargocentron rubrum (redcoat). RNAcentral's name for it is "tRNA-Lys". It matches the Rfam family "tRNA". Rfam says of the family: Transfer RNA (tRNA) molecules are approximately 80 nucleotides in length. RNAcentral also lists the same sequence under 1 other name. Lineage: Eukaryota; Metazoa; Chordata; Actinopteri; Holocentriformes; Holocentridae. The record is from RNAcentral.
CACUACGAAGCUAAACAGGACAUAGCGUUAGCCUUUUAAGCUAAAGACUGGUGACUCCCGACCACCCGUAGUGA